CAUGAAGCACCUUCUCUUCUUAAUGGGUCAGAGAGGCAUGAAAAUGCCCAGGGACAGCAUACUCUAGCCCAGGAGUCUGAGGAGCCUGCAUCCUGUGACUUCCCCACCAUGGCCUGUAUGGUGCUUCUUCUUGGGCUCCUCACUUAUGGCUCAGGAGCAGAUUCUCAGAAUGUGGUGACCCCGGAGCCAUCACUAACGAUUUUUCCAGGAGGGACAGUCACACUUACCUGUGCCCUUAGUUCUGGUUCAGUCUCGACAGGUCACUACCCAAGCUGGUACCAGCAGACCCCAGGCCAGCCUCCUCACAUGAUUAUCUACCACACAGAAAGCCACCCCUCAGGGGUCCCUGACCUCUUCUCUAGAUCCAUCUCUGGUGACAAAGCCAGCCUCACCAUCACAGGGGCCCUGCCUGAGGAUGAGGCUGACUAUUACUGUGUGCUGUAUUUUGAUGGUUAUACUUACACAGUGAUUUAA
Non-coding RNA from Lutra lutra (Eurasian river otter), 474 nucleotides. The record is from the annotation of a RefSeq genome assembly. NCBI's taxonomy places the organism in Eukaryota, Metazoa, Chordata, Mammalia, Carnivora, Mustelidae.